RNAcentral lists this ribosomal RNA (468 nucleotides) under uncultured bacterium. Its description in RNAcentral is "partial 16S ribosomal RNA". It matches the Rfam family "Bacterial small subunit ribosomal RNA", at positions 28 to 507 of the family's 1533-position model. The record is from RNAcentral.
GACGAACGCUGGCGGCGUGCUUAACACAUGCAAGUCGAACGGAAAGGCCCUGCUUUUGUGGGGUGCUCGAGUGGCGAACGGGUGAGUAACACGUGAGUAACCUGCCCUUGACUUUGGGAUAACUUCAGGAAACUGGGGCUAAUACCGGAUAGGAGCUCCUGCUGCAUGGUGGGGGUUGGAAAGUUUCGGCGGUUGGGGAUGGACUCGCGGCUUAUCAGCUUGUUGGUGGGGUAGUGGCUUACCAAGGCUUUGACGGGUAGCCGGCCUGAGAGGGUGACCGGACAAACUGGGACUGAGAUACGGCCCAGACUCCUACGCGAGGCAGCAGUGAGGAAUAUUGAACACUGGGCGGAAGCAUGAUGCAGCAACGCCGCGUGCGGGAUGAAGGCCUUCGGGUGGUGAACCGCUUUGGCCUGUGACGAAGCGUGAGUGACGGUAAUGGGUGAAGAAGCACCGGCUAAAUACGUG